GUGGAGGUGGCUCAGCAGGUGAGUACUUGCCACGUGAGCAUGAGGGCCUGGGUUCAAAUCCCCUGCAUCCACA
This 73-nucleotide transfer RNA is filed under the name Mus musculus (house mouse). It matches the Rfam family "tRNA". From Rfam's summary of the family: Transfer RNA (tRNA) molecules are approximately 80 nucleotides in length. Their secondary structure includes four short double-helical elements and three loops (D, anti-codon, and T loops). The record is from Rfam by way of RNAcentral. Lineage: Eukaryota; Metazoa; Chordata; Mammalia; Rodentia; Muridae.